This 1655-nucleotide long non-coding RNA is filed under the name Monodon monoceros (narwhal). RNAcentral's name for it is "lncRNA (ENSMMNG00015019315.1)". Lineage: Eukaryota; Metazoa; Chordata; Mammalia; Artiodactyla; Monodontidae. The record is from RNAcentral.
AGUACAUGCUGUGAUUUCUCCCACAGAAGAAAUCAUUCUUGAGCAAAGUGAACAUCUAAAAAUGUCCUGGAUUGCCCACAUGCAGAGAUAAUAAUCAAAGUAUUUAACUGGUACAGCAUGGUCCUCAACCAAUCAUAAAAGAUGCUGGUCUACAUGCUGCAGGGCUGCCUCACCAGCUGACCAUAGGCUCUGCCCAGUGAAACACAGGGGUCCCAGUUCUGCCUGGGUGAAAUCUGCAGGUAGGCUUGAGAGGUCAUUGAGCAGAGAAGGGUUUACUUGGCUUUCUCCAAGGGGACUCAGAGGUAGGUGGGUAUGAUUUUGAUUCCUCCUCAGAAAAAGAAGUGAUGUGUAGAAACAUUUAUUGAACAUCUCUGAAGGGAGCUAAAGGCCCAGCAGGGGCCACAUCGGCAGGGACUUUGAGAGCUUUACAUUCCAACAUAUUAUUUGUGUUUUCUUCUGAGUAUGGAAGUAAAGCCACAAACCGCAUCAGGUUUCCUUCUGGAAGAAUGUCUCUUCUCCAUUGUGGGUGGUCUGGGCAAGACCAAAAGGCAAAGCAGCCAGCCUGUAGGUGUGUAUAUGAUCCAAGCCAUGUUUGGUGGAGAAUGGACCUCUUGGAAGAUCAUGUGGCAGCAACUACUGAAAAGGGAAGAAAAGAAGCCAGUCCCUGGAUCUUCAGCAAACAAGAGGAAGAAGGCACAAGAGGUAGGUGUGGGCCUGAGGGACACGGUGUACGUCCCUUGAGGAAGAUCUGCUUCACCACAGUUGGCUCUCAGGUACCCAGGGAGCUAGAAUUCCAGCCUGGUUUCUCCAUGGCCUCCCAGGUUGACCGGCUUGGGAGUCAGGCAUUCCUCACAAGCAAAGCCCUAGUAGCUUGAGCAGAUACUAGGAAAAGGACAAAGGCUCAGGUCAGGCUCUCUUCUUGUUAGCAAUUCUGGUAAGACAGGGAGUAGGUGGGCAUUGAAAUCAUGGGCUAGGACUUCCCUGGAAGUCCAGUGGUUAAGACUCCACGCUUCCACUGCAGGGGGGUAUGGGUUUGAUCCCUGGUUGGGGAACUAAGAUCCCGCAUGCCAUGUGGUAUAACCAAGAAAAAAAAAAAAAAGUAAAGAAAAGAAAUCAUGGACUAAAAUGAGGCCUUGCUGCAAUAUGUGGACUUAUUCUUAAGAAUAUGGUAAGAAUAUGUCACUUACUAUGACAUUUACAUUUACUGCACAAUAAUUAUGCAUAUGUUUAUGCAUAUUUCAUGGGAACCGUAAUGUGAACUGGGUGGAUUUUCCUUUUUUUAUGCUUAUUUGCAUGAAGAAAAGUGAGAAAUGAAUUUUCUGUCGUAAGUGCGACCAUUCCUUUGCCAGUGUUGGGUACAACACAACCAUAUCAAACCCUCAAAGAGGGGCCAUCUAAGCACCUGCCAACCUGGCCCACCCACAGAGCUUUGCCUAGAAGCCGUGUCUCUUAUAGAAUUUAGCUCGAGCUAUAAUAUCACUGAUGACGUCAGUCUAUGUCCGCGGGGGUGGCAGUGGCUUCAGUUCCUGACUUGAAGGCUGAGAAACCACCUGAAAUGAAACCAGAGGUUCAGAUUGAAAGAUUAACUUUCAGCAGAAAUAAGAUAUGAGCAUUCCCGGGAUGUCAGCCCUCCAGGGAAAUCUUCCAAAGCAGAC